UCCCGGGAAAUGGCUACCUAAAGAAAAUUGUACUUAAAUUGUUUUUUAUUUAGUUUUUAUUUUUUUUUAAUUUUAUUUUUUAGGUAAAAUUUAAAAAUUAUUAAAAUUUGUAUACUAAAUAAUAAGAUUUUGUUUUAAAAUUGGAUUAGUACCCAAGUAUAAAAAAUUUAAAAGUGCAGUAUUAAAGUAAAAUUUAAACUGAAAAAAUAUUGGCAGAUUUUUUAAUUAUCUUUGGAGGUUGAAAUAUAAUUGAGAACCCUCAUUAACAGCUUUUUCUUUUGAUUUAUGUAUGAUCGUUUAUUUAAUUUUUAAGAAAUUUAAUUAAAAUUUAUUAUUAUUAAAAUAGAUAAAUACCUAGUUUAUGAAAAAGUUUAAAUUUUGACCUACAAUAUUUUAUAAUGUGGAUUAUAAUUUUAGUUUUUUAUAUGAAAAUGUAAAAGACAGUAAAAAUAUUUUUAUGU
This 461-nucleotide ribosomal RNA is filed under the name Halicephalobus gingivalis. RNAcentral describes it as "12S ribosomal RNA". Lineage: Eukaryota; Metazoa; Nematoda; Chromadorea; Rhabditida; Panagrolaimidae. The record is from RNAcentral.